CGAUGAGCUUGCGUCUGCGGAUAUGGAGGUAACGGUAGUGUGGAUACGCCGGGGUGGAGAAGGAGGUGACCGAAGUUACGAUACGUGGGGGUGAUGUGUGUUUGAGGGGAGGUGUAGGUAUGCGAGUGACCUAGGUAGCUUUGUAAACCUUAACUUCACAAGUAAGUUAUCUGAGUUUGUUAAGUGUAGUGGAGUAAUAAAAAGAUAAAGUGGAAAGUAGUAUUUUUAGUACAAAGCCUAUGCUUAUGGCCAUGGAAAUAGUGUUAUGCAUUAUUUUUGUUUGUGUGUGCUUAAAAUAAAGUACAUUAAGAAUAAUGUAAUUAAAUAACAUUUUACUAUAUGCUAAAAAUGUUUGUUACCCCUAAAAGGCAUCUUGCAUGUUACAUCAUAUGCAAGGUGAUGAAAGUUGAAAAAGUUAUACCAGUAAUUAUAUGCAAAUUAAAUAAGGUUGUCAACACUAUAAAUUGUACUUCGACCUUUUCUUUUAGUGCAAGUGUGAAUCAACAUCCACUCAAACCUCUUUUUUUUUUACUUAUUUUAUUGUUUUUAUCUUUUUUUUUUUACUUAUUUUUACCUAUACGUUUCAAAAAAAAAAAAGUAUAGUACUAUUUAAGAGCUUAGCUUACUAAUGAUUACAAGUAUUUAGCUACUAUAACAUACAUCAGAGAUUGGCAAAUUGUAAGUGUGCGCUAGCUAACUUCCCUCCUAGCCUAAUGUAAUUCACCUAAAAGAUUCUCUUUCAUACACUCCCACCCUCCUCCUGCUCCUCCUCCUCCUCCUCCUCCUUCUUCUUCUUCUUCAUUCUCCGCCAGUUUUAUUUCUACCUUUACUACUUCAUAAUGAUAGGAAGACCUGGAACAAGGAUUGGGUUGGCGUUAAGAGUCGAUCAAGGGACUUGUGCAACCAUCACCUUUCUGAUCAUGUUAUUGGCAAAUAAGUCAGCGUUUUACGCAUGUACGAUUUUCAACAUAUUAUUUUAUCUAUGGGGAUUCAAUUUUUAUGGAAUCUCGGAGUUGCAAUCCUUGAUAUUAUGACGAUGAGGAGGAACUUAAACCUCCGGUCGCUUUCGUGGUUGAUGUUUUUUUCCGCGAGAGAUUGCUUGUUCGUUAUGUUUUCACUCUCUGAAGCAUGCUCAAUCAGAGAAGGAUAGAAGAGGAGAAAACUAAGAAAGCAGGAAGGGAGGACUGAGAUUUGUUAGCAAAAUAGAAAAGCAACUACUGUUUUUGUGCAAUGUCGCGAUGACCGUUAAUUGUACAUCUAUAAUUAAUAUUAUAUUGUAUCAAUAUAAAAAUAUAAAUUCAUGUUUUACUAUA
Long non-coding RNA from Chenopodium quinoa (quinoa), 1313 nucleotides. RefSeq lists it as uncharacterized. NCBI's taxonomy places the organism in Eukaryota, Viridiplantae, Streptophyta, Magnoliopsida, Caryophyllales, Amaranthaceae. The record is from RefSeq and is a predicted model, not a curated record. The transcript has 3 exons.